UCUCUUGGCCCAUUCUCCUGGGUUCCGGGGCCCUUCUCGGGGUCCUUCUCGGGGUCCAGGGCACCAAGAGGAGGGGCUGUGAGCUCCGCCCCUGGGGAAGGUGUAUGGGGGAAGACCUGUCUGCCUUCACCUAGGCCAUGUCUUGAUGCUGCCCAAGAAGCCACAUCUUGUGCACAUCUGGUGCAGGGGAUCCUUGCACCAGGCUGGGCAUGAGCCAAGGUUCUCUUCCACGAGCGGAUCCUUUUCCAAGUGGGAACGCCUGGAGAGCCAGGGACUUGAAUCUUUUGGGGGUCUGGCCAAGUUGCCCGGAUUGAGCUGGAACUUGCUGCAGGUGUGCGCUGCCAUGUCUGGUCACUCUAACUUCUUCUGGAAACUUCUGUAGUGGAUCCUGUGUGCACCACCCAGACUACCACCUCAGGACGGGACUCUCGUUCCUCUGCUCAGAGAACGGAAAUUGACACUCACGGAUGAAUCUCACUGGGAAAAUGUCCUGGCUGAAAGGAGCUUCCUGGGGCCUUCCCACUGGAGAAGGGGAGGAGGGUAACAGAGGCCUCCACACCUUUCUCAAUACAGAGCAAAUUUGAAGGGUCAUCUCCUCUCCAGGGCUCUGUGUGGGGUUGGGUGAGACAUACAUUGAUUG
Molecule: long non-coding RNA, 640 nt
Organism: Heterocephalus glaber (naked mole-rat)
Lineage: Eukaryota; Metazoa; Chordata; Mammalia; Rodentia; Bathyergidae
Source: RefSeq, a predicted model, not a curated record